AAGGAACGCUAGCUAUAUGCUUAACACAUGCAAGUCGAACGUAGUUUUCGGGGAGCUAGGCAGAAGGAAAAGAGGCUCCUAGCUUUGUCUCGCCUUUCCUUGUGGGAACAGUUGAGAACAAAGUGGCGAACGGGUGCGUAACGCGUGGGAAUCUGCCGAACAGUUCGGGCCAAAUCCUGAAGAAAGCUAAAAAGCGCUGUUUGAUGAGCCUGCGUAGUAUUAGGUCGUUGGUCAGGUAAAGGCUGACCAA
Molecule: ribosomal RNA, 250 nt
Filed under: uncultured bacterium
Lineage: Bacteria
Description: partial 16S ribosomal RNA
Rfam family: Bacterial small subunit ribosomal RNA
Source: RNAcentral